RNAcentral lists this long non-coding RNA (237 nucleotides) under Elaeis guineensis (African oil palm). RNAcentral describes it as "long non-coding RNA (EGUI_LNC028595)". The record is from RNAcentral. Lineage: Eukaryota; Viridiplantae; Streptophyta; Magnoliopsida; Arecales; Arecaceae.
GAAGCGAAAAAGAGAAAUAGAGAGAGAGGGAGAUGGAUGGAUUUAAUCGAGUCUUUUUAUUUGGAUCCAACUCAGUUGAGUCUGGAUCAACUCGAAUUGUAUAGAUUCAUUCAAAAAUUUAACCUAAAUCUAGACUUAGACUCAGGCCAGAUUGAGAGUAUCUUUCUAUUUCAUCUCAAUUCUCUUCGAUUCGAAGAUUAAUUAAACCUAUUAUUUAUUUAUGCUAGAGCCUUUGUC